RNAcentral lists this ribosomal RNA (495 nucleotides) under uncultured bacterium. RNAcentral describes it as "partial 16S ribosomal RNA". It matches the Rfam family "Bacterial small subunit ribosomal RNA", at positions 28 to 507 of the family's 1533-position model. The record is from RNAcentral.
GACGAACGCUGGCGGCGUGCCUAAUACAUGCAAGUAGAACGCUGAAGGAGGAGCUUGCUUCUCUGGAUGAGUUGCGAACGGGUGAGUAACGCGUAGGUAACCUGCCUGGUAGCGGGGGAUAACUAUUGGAAACGAUAGCUAAUACCGCAUAAGAGUAGAUGUUGCAUGACAUUUGCUUAAAAGUUUCAAUUGCAUCACUACCAGAUGGACCUGCGUUGUAUUAGCUAGUUGGUGGGGUAACGGCUUACCAAGGCGACGAUCCAUAGCCGACCUGAGAGGGUGAUCGGCCACACUGGGACUGAGACACGGCACAGACUGCUACGGGAGGCAGCAGUAGGGAAUCGUCGGCAAUGGACGGAAGUUUGACCGAGAAACGCCGCGUGAGUGAAGAAGGUUUUCGGAUCGUAAAGCUCUGUUGUAAGAGAAGAACGAGUGUGAGAGUGGAAAGUUCACAGUGUGACGGUAUCGUACCAGAAAGGGACGGCUAACUACGUG